GAUUCUAUGGAACCUUUUUGUAGGGAGAAGGGCAGGAUGUUUUUAACUGAAUGUGACCUCAGGGGAAUACUAGAGAAAAUAAUAAAAUUUCUGAAUGGGGCAGCGUGGAGAAAUCCUAAGAGAAAUAGCAUAAGAGCAUUUUGGAACACAUCCAGGAAAAGAUAACUUUCGACACACCUGUAGACGUUCGCCAGGUAAAGAGCCCCCAAUUUUGUGAGUGUCCCUGAAGCAUUGUGACAAUUCCAUUUUAUGUGUCUGCGUGCUCAUAUCAAGACUAAGGAGUGAUGGAAACUCUCCAGUUCAGAUCCAGUAGCUUUUAGGGAAGGUAAGUAAAAGCUAUUUAAAAAUAAACUUUUCCCCCAAAGAAAAAGAAUCUCCAACUUUUCAACAUCCAUCAAAAACCUGAGAAGUUAAGGAACUUCAUUUUAGAGGACCAGAAAAGAUGCUUGCUUUGGUUAUUGUUGGCAUCCUCAUGGUAAUUUGGGUUAUGUUCAUAUAGAUUUUUGAGGAGUGUUUACACCUGUUCAUCCUGAUUCAUGACUUCAUAUGUUUGAUAUUAGGGGCAUUAAUAUGUAAGACAUUCAGAAUUAACAUGUAUGAUUUUAAAAUGUGGUAGACAGGAUAAAGUACCCCUCCCCAAAAUAUCCAUGAAAUCUCUGAAAUC
Molecule: long non-coding RNA, 664 nt
Filed under: Homo sapiens (human)
Lineage: Eukaryota; Metazoa; Chordata; Mammalia; Primates; Hominidae
Description: non-protein coding lnc-ST18-4:8
Source: RNAcentral